This 77-nucleotide transfer RNA is filed under the name Bifidobacterium longum subsp. longum. RNAcentral's name for it is "tRNA-Pro". It matches the Rfam family "tRNA". From Rfam's summary of the family: Transfer RNA (tRNA) molecules are approximately 80 nucleotides in length. Their secondary structure includes four short double-helical elements and three loops (D, anti-codon, and T loops). Lineage: Bacteria; Bacillati; Actinomycetota; Actinomycetes; Bifidobacteriales; Bifidobacteriaceae. The record is from RNAcentral. RNAcentral also lists the same sequence under 88 other names.
CGGGCUGUAGCGCAGCUUGGUAGCGCGCUUCGUUCGGGACGAAGAGGCCGCGGGUUCAAAUCCCGCCAGCCCGACAA